CAAUAGCGUAUAUUAAAGUUGUUGCGGUUAAAAAGCUCGUAGUUGGAUUUCUGCUGAGAACGACCGGUCCGCCCUUUGGGUGUGUAUCUGGCUCUUUCUUGGCAUCUUCUUGGUGAACGUUGCUGCACUUGACUGUGUGGAGCGCUACCCAGGACUUUUACUUUGAGGAAAUUAGAGUGUUUCAAGCAGGCAUACGCCUUGAAUACAUUAGCAUGGAAUAAUAAGAUAGGACCUCGGUUCUAUUUUGUUGGUUUCUAGAGCUGAGGUAAUGAUUAAUAGGGAUAGUUGGGGGCAUUCGUAUUUAACUGUCAGAGGUGAAAUUCUUGGAUUUGUUAAAGACGGACUACUGCGAAANCANNNGCCAAGGAUGUUUNCAUNGA
RNAcentral lists this ribosomal RNA (380 nucleotides) under uncultured eukaryote. Its description in RNAcentral is "partial 18S ribosomal RNA". It matches the Rfam family "Eukaryotic small subunit ribosomal RNA", at positions 592 to 976 of the family's 1831-position model. The record is from RNAcentral.